This 440-nucleotide ribosomal RNA is filed under the name uncultured bacterium. RNAcentral describes it as "partial 16S ribosomal RNA". It matches the Rfam family "Bacterial small subunit ribosomal RNA", at positions 338 to 795 of the family's 1533-position model. The record is from RNAcentral.
CCUACGGGAGGCAGCAGUAGGGAAUAUUGCUCAAUGGGGGAAACCCUGAAGCAGCAACGCCGCGUGGAGGAUGAAGGUUUUCGGAUUGUAAACUCCUUUUGUUAGAGAAGAUAAUGACGGUAUCUAACGAAUAAGCACCGGCUAACUCCGUGCCAGCAGCCGCGGUAAUACGGAGGGUGCAAGCGUUACUCGGAAUCACUGGGCGUAAAGCGCGCGUAGGCGGGUUAGCAAGUCAGAUGUGAAAGCCUAUGGCUUAACCAUAGAACUGCAUUUGAAACUGUUAUUCUAGAGUAUGGGAGAGGUAGGUGGAAUGCUUGGUGUAGGGGUAAAAUCCGUAGAGAUCAAGAGGAAUACUCAUUGCGAAGGCGACCUGCUAGAACAUAACUGACGCUGAUGCGCGAAAGCGUGGGGAGCAAACAGGAUUAGAUACCCCAGUAGUC